RNAcentral lists this ribosomal RNA (421 nucleotides) under uncultured bacterium. RNAcentral's name for it is "bacterial SSU rRNA". It matches the Rfam family "Bacterial small subunit ribosomal RNA", at positions 1 to 412 of the family's 1533-position model. The record is from RNAcentral.
AAUUCGCCCUUAGAGUUUGAUCAUGGCUCAGAGUGAACGCUGGCGGCGUGCCUAACACAUGCAAGUCGAACGGUAACAGGAGAAAGCUUGCUUUCUUGCUGACGAGUGGCGCACGGGUGAGUAAUGUAUAGCUAACGUGCCCUACAGAGGGGGAUAGCCACUGGAAACGGUGAUUAAUACCCCAUACUCCUUCUUAACACAAGUUAAGUUGGGAAAUGGAUUUCCGCUGUAGGAUCGGGCUAUAUCGUAUCAGGUAGUUGGUGGGGUAACGGCCUACCAAGCCAAUGACGCGUAGCUGGUUUGAGAGGAUGAUCAGCCACACUGGUACUGAGACACGGACCAGACUCCUACGGGAGGCAGCAGUGAGGAAUAUUGCACAAUGGGGGGAACCCUGAUGCAGCAACGCCGCGUGGACCAUGAA